RNAcentral lists this ribosomal RNA (253 nucleotides) under uncultured bacterium. RNAcentral's name for it is "partial 16S ribosomal RNA". It matches the Rfam family "Bacterial small subunit ribosomal RNA", at positions 524 to 776 of the family's 1533-position model. The record is from RNAcentral.
UACGAGUGCCCCAAGCGUUAUCCGGAAUUAUUGGGUGUAAAGGGUCCGUAGGCGGUCCUAUUAGUCUUCUGUGAAAGCUCCCGGCUCAACUGGGAAAACGCAGAGGAAACGGUAGGACUUGAAGAUAUGAGAGGUACAUGGAACUCAUAGUGUAGGGGUGAAAUCCGUUGAUAUUAUGGGGAACACCAAAUGCGAAGGCAAUGUACUGGCAUAUUCUUGACGCUGAGGGACGAAAGCGUGGGUAGCGAAAGGG